GGGGUGACUAGUGACAGAGUGUGGAAGAGGGUGACUAGGGACAGAGGGGGUGAGUAAUGACAGAGUGAGGGAGGGGGUGACUAGUGACAGUGAGGGAGCGGGUGACAGUGACCGAGUUAGGGAGGGAGUGACUAGUGACAGUCACUCCCUCCCUCUGUCACUAGUCACUCCCUCCCUCUGUCACUAGUCACUCCCUCCCUCUGUCACCAGUCAUCCCCUCACUCUGUCACCAGUCACCCCUUCCCUCCCUCACUCUGCCACUAGUCACCCAUUCCCUAACUCUGUCACUAGUCACCCCC
Non-coding RNA from Pelobates cultripes (western spadefoot toad), 299 nucleotides. NCBI's taxonomy places the organism in Eukaryota, Metazoa, Chordata, Amphibia, Anura, Pelobatidae. The record is from the annotation of a GenBank genome assembly.